CACGCCGCGGUGAAUACGUUCCCGGGCCUUGUACACACCGCCCGUCACACCACGAGAGUUUGUAACACCCGAAGUCGGUGAGGUAACCUUUUGGAGCCAGUCGCCUAAGGUGGGAUAGAUGAUUGGGGUGAAGUCGUAACAAGGUAGCCGUAUCGGAAGGUGCGGCUGGAUCACCUCCUUUCUAAGGAA
This 189-nucleotide ribosomal RNA is filed under the name Enterococcus faecium. RNAcentral describes it as "partial 16S ribosomal RNA". It matches the Rfam family "Bacterial small subunit ribosomal RNA", at positions 1353 to 1533 of the family's 1533-position model. Lineage: Bacteria; Bacillati; Bacillota; Bacilli; Lactobacillales; Enterococcaceae. The record is from RNAcentral.